Non-coding RNA from Paramuricea clavata, 892 nucleotides. The record is from the annotation of a GenBank genome assembly. NCBI's taxonomy places the organism in Eukaryota, Metazoa, Cnidaria, Anthozoa, Malacalcyonacea, Plexauridae.
CCCACGUUUAAGAUAUCUUUUCUGAUAGUUUAGACACACAGCACGGACUGUUAUUAUACAAUACUACCCAUAUUGGAGACAAGAUUCAUAAUCCGUUCAUACUAACCUUUUCUCUUGCGCGUUGUCCGCGGUAAAACAAACGAAGCUGGCAGUGUUGGUUUUGCACCUGUCUUGUUCUGGAAGAUACAGACCUCCGUUUUUAUCAAUGGAUACUGGUCACACUUCAGCGCAUUGGGCCAAAGGUAGCCAUUCUUUUUUAGGACACCCGAACAGCCCUUCUGUACAUCAAGACAUAACUCCCGACAUGGUGGCACGAGUUUAUUGAUGGAAGUACACAUUGGAAAAUAGACCGAACAAAGAAACGUCAAAACGUCGAGAGAGCAGCCUUGGCUCAACAGAGGACGCAGGCUGUUAACGCUUUUUAUGGCUUCGGAUUGCUUGCGAUGGCCCAAAUAAUUUGGGAAGAUUGUUCGAUUGUAGUCCAUCUGCCGACAUAUAUCAUAGGUGAGGGUUUCGCAUUUGUCGUCUUUCGGCGGUAUUAGCGGGUUAUAACUAUGCACUGCUGUUUGCGCACAGAGGAGAACCAAGAGUCCCGAGAUGACUUGGUAACCCAUGGUCGAAUCGCGCUUCUGCCUUUUCGAAUCGAGCUAUUUAGCUAUACGGUCAGUUCAGUCUACCUUCCCUGGCAAGCGAACGAAGACUAAUCCAGCACAGAUGGAGACGUUUCGUUUUUGUACUGACGUACUGUUUAUCUGCGGUCUUGUGAGUUGAAUGCCGCGCGUUCCAGAGAUAAUGUGUUUUGUAGCAGUGGCUUGGCGGUGGCGCCUUGCAAUUACGAUCGACCUAACAGGUCGUGGCCCGAUGUGAUACGUUGUAAUACUUGGAAUCCGGA